This 483-nucleotide ribosomal RNA is filed under the name uncultured bacterium. RNAcentral describes it as "bacterial SSU rRNA". It matches the Rfam family "Bacterial small subunit ribosomal RNA", at positions 31 to 507 of the family's 1533-position model. The record is from RNAcentral.
GAACGCUGGCGGAAUGCUUUACACAUGCAAGUCGAACGGCAGCACGGGAGCUUGCUCCUGGUGGCGAGUGGCGAACGGGUGAGUAACAUAUCGGAACGUAUCCAAUAAUGGGGGAUAACUAAUCGAAAGGUUGGCUAAUACCGCAUACGCCCUGAGGGGGAAAGCUGGGGAUCUUCGGACCUGGCGUUAAUGGAGCGGCCGAUAUCUGAUUAGCUAGUUGGUGAGGUAAAGGCUCACCAAGGCGACGAUCAGUAGCUGGUCUGAGAGGACGACCAGCCACACUGGAACUGAGACACGGUCCAGACUCCUACGGGAGGCAGCAGUGGGGAAUUUUGGACAAUGGGCGCAAGCCUGAUCCAGCCAUUCCGCGUGAGUGAAGAAGGCCUUCGGGUUGUAAAGCUCUUUCGCAAGGGAAGAAACGAUAGUGACGAAUACUCGCUGUUAAUGACGGUACCUUGAUAAGAAGCACCGGCUAACUACGUG